GGCUAAGCUAUUAAGAGCGAACGGUGGAUGCCUUGGCGUCAAGAGGCGAUGAAAGACGUGGCAAGCUGCGAUAAGCUUCGGGGAGCUGCUAAACAAGCUUUGAUCCGGAGAUUUCUGAAUGGGGAAACCCGUCUCGGGUAGUGUCGAGACAUCUGUAGCUGAAUACAUAGGCUACAGAGGCGAACGAGGUGAACUGAAACAUCUAAGUAACCUCAGGAAAAGAAAACAAUAGUGAUUUCCAAAGUAGCGGCGAGCGAAAUGGAAACAGCCCAAACCAAAUAUAUGUUAAAGCCCGAAAGCGUUGUAUAUUUGGUGUCGUGGGGUUCGAUCGGACGGAGUUUCGGAUCUGUCGGGAAGUUACAAAUCUGAUUUAUAACUGAAGAGUCUGGAAAGUCUCACCAGAGAGGGUGAUAGUCCCGUAAGUAAAAUAUAUCAGACUUCCUGGAUCGAAUACCCAAGUACCGCGGGACACGUGGAACCCUGUGGGAAUUUGGGAGGACCAUCUCCUAAGGCUAAAUACUACUUGGCGACCGAUAGUGAACAAGUACCGUGAGGGAAAGGUGAAAAGUACUCCGGUGAGGAGAGUGAAAUAGUACCUGAAACCGUUUGCUUACAAGCAGUGGGAGGGCUAUGAAUAUUGUUAUGGUUUACCUUAGCAUUAUUCAGCCUGACUGCGUGCCUUUUGCAUAAUGAGUCAGUGAGUUACUUUACGUAGCGAGGUUAAGCCGUUAGGUGUAGCCGAAGCGAAAGCGAGUCUUAAUAGGGCGUAUUAGUUGCGUGGAGUAGACCCGAAACCAAGUGAUCUAUCCAUGGCCAGAGUGAAGCGCAAGUAAAAUUGCGUGGAGGCUCGAACCGGUGUAGGUUGAAAACUGCUCGGAUGAGCUGUGGAUAGGGGUGAAAGGCCAAACAAACUUGGAAAUAGCUGGUUCUCCCCGAAAUAUAUUUAGGUAUAGCCUUGCAAAUUAAGUAACGGGGGUAGAGCACUGGAUGGGCUAGGGGUCUUACCGGAUUACCAAACCUAACCAAACUCCGAAUACCGUUAACUUUUAUUGCAGGAGUCAGACUACGGGAGCUAAGUUCCGUGGUCGAGAGGGAAACAGCCCAGAUCGCCAGCUAAGGUCCCUAAAUAUGCGCUAAGUGGGAAAGGAUGUGGAAGUGCACAGACAACCAGGAGGUUGGCUUAGAAGCAGCCAUCCUUUAAAGAAAGCGUAACAGCUCACUGGUCGAGUGAGUCUGCGCCGAAAAUGUAACGGGGCUAAAGCGUAUUACCGAAGCUGCGGGAUCCGCUAUAUGCGGAUCGGUAGGGGAGCAUUCUGUUUGGGUUGAAGGUCGAUCGUAAGGACGGCUGGACUAAACAGAAGAGAUCAUGCUGACAUAAGUAACGAUAAAGCGGGUGAAAAACCCGCUCGCCGAAAACCUAAGGUUUCCUGAGUAAAGCUAAUCUGCUCAGGGUUAGUCGAUCCCUAAGCCGAGGCCGAAAGGCGUAGGUAAUGGAAAACAGGUUAAUAUUCCUGUACCACCGAGUUAUCAAUAUCCCUUCGGGGGUGAGAGUGAUGGGGGGACGCAGAAGGGUAGGUCAUCCAUCUGUUGGAUUAGAUGGUUCAAGCUUGUAGGCUGAAAGGAUAGGCAAAUCCGUCCUUUUAUUUAAAAGCCGAGAAGUGAUGAGGAGUCCGCUUGCGGGCAUAAACUGAUUGAUCCCAUACUGCCAAGAAAAGCCUCUAGCGAGAUAACUAGGUGAUCGUACCGCAAACCGACACAGGUAGGUAGGGAGAGAAUCCCAAGGCGCUUGAGAGAACCCUGGUUAAGGAACUCGGCAAAAUAACACCGUAACCUCGGGAGAAGGUGUGCCCUCAUUAGGUAAAGCAAACUGAUUUUAUUAUCGGGCAUGUGGAGCUGAGGGGGGCCGCAGAGAAAUGGCGGUAGCGACUGUUUACUAAAAACAUAGGACUCUGCUAAGUCGCAAGACGAUGUAUAGGGUCUGACGCCUGCCCGGUGCUGGAAGGUUAAGGGGACUUGUUAUCUGUCUUCGGACGGAAAAGCUCGGAACCGAAGCCCCAGUAAACGGCGGCCGUAACUAUAACGGUCCUAAGGUAGCGAAAUUCCUUGUCGGGUAAGUUCCGACCUGCACGAAUGGCGUAACGACUUCCGCACUGUCUCAACCAGGGACUCAGUGAAAUUGUAUUGGCGGUGAAGAUGCCGUCUACCCGCGAAAAGACGGAAAGACCCCGGCACCUUUACUACAGCUUGACAUUGAAUUUUGGAAUAACAUGUGUAGGAUAGGUGGGAGGCUUUGAAGCCGGAACGCUAGUUUCGGUGGAGCCACCCUUGAAAUACCACCCUUGUUAUUUUAGGGUUCUAAUUUCGACCCGUUAUCCGGGCGAAAGACAGUGUCUGGUGGGUAGUUUGACUGGGGCGGUCGCCUCCCAAAGAGUAACGGAGGCGCGCGAAGGUUCCCUCAGGCUGAUUGGAAACCAGCCGUGGAGUGUAAAGGCAUAAGGGAGCUUGACUGCGAGAGAGACAUUUCGAGCAGGUACGAAAGUAGGUCUUAGUGAUCCGGCGGUCCCGUAUGGAAGGGCCGUCGCUCAACGGAUAAAAGGUACGCCGGGGAUAACAGGCUUAUCGCCCCCAAGAGUUCACAUCGACGGGGCGGUUUGGCACCUCGAUGUCGGCUCAUCACAUCCUGGGGCUGGAGCAGGUCCCAAGGGUUUGGCUGUUCGCCAAUUAAAGUGGUACGUGAGCUGGGUUUAAAACGUCGUGAGACAGUUUGGUCCCUAUCUUUCGUGGGCGCAGGAUAUUUGAGAGGAUCUGUUCCUAGUACGAGAGGACCGGAAUGGACGAACCAAUGGUGUUCCAGUUGUCGCGCCAGCGGCAUUGCUGGGUAGCUAAGUUCGGAAUGGAUAACCGCUGAAAGCAUCUAAGCGGGAAGCCAACCUCGAGAUUAGAUAUCCCUCUGUAUGGAGACAUACAGACUGAAGACCCCUUGAAGACUACAAGGUUGAUAGGCCAGGUGUGUAAGUCCGGUAACGGAUUUAGCUAACUGGUACUAAUAGGUCGUGAGGCUUAGUCAC
This 3068-nucleotide ribosomal RNA is filed under the name Deltaproteobacteria bacterium. RNAcentral describes it as "23S ribosomal RNA". It matches the Rfam family "Bacterial large subunit ribosomal RNA". Lineage: Bacteria; Pseudomonadati; Myxococcota; Myxococcia. The record is from RNAcentral.